Non-coding RNA from Phascolarctos cinereus (koala), 4845 nucleotides. Lineage: Eukaryota; Metazoa; Chordata; Mammalia; Diprotodontia; Phascolarctidae. The record is from RefSeq and is a predicted model, not a curated record.
AUUUAUUUAGUUGGUACUCAAAAUAACACAAGAGAUUACCUUUUCCACAAAAGUUAUAUUUAUUUUUAAAUACACAACAAAGUUAGUUUUAGAAAACAUUGUUUUUUAAUUCCAUGUGAGUGGAACUCAGGGGACCUUAAAAAAAGAAAAAGACAACAAAGUUCUUCCAUAACAUCCCAGCAAUUUUCAAAUGAAAGAUACAGCUUUAUUACUAUAUUUAAAUACCUCUCCGGCACAAUCUCAGCACCUUGAAACACAAAUACAAGUACUAAGAGCCCCUGCACUAUAGCUCAUUUUUGAGGUGCAUCCUAUUCUCUAAAACCAGUUGAAGAGUAGGUUUCAUUCAAAUGUAUAUAUUUGUUGACAAUUGUGUAGUUUUUCCUGUUAUUCAUUCUUAAUAAUCCAGUCAUUACAAAUAUGUUAACUUCUGUUCAAUGGAAUUACAUGGUUACUGCUCCCUGUGACAAUAAUAAGAUGACGACUUUCUUUUCGGGUUUUAUUCCUGAAUGAUCAGUCAGUUUUAUAGUGAGAGCAAAUCUAAAAAAAACCAACCAAGACACUUUUCUUUCCUCUAUGGCACUAACAGAAGAAUAGAACCGAAUCAAUCAAUUUCACCUCAUUUUUAUAAGGAGAUAACUUGAAAAUGGUUCUUUAGAACUCAGCCAGUUCACAGUGCUAAUUUGAUAGCCUAAGUAGGUUGUCCUAAAUAGAUGCAAAUGUCUCCCUUUUCAGAGUGUUAAUUUUAAAGGAUUCAGUUAGUCCUUUUUCAUGCCUAGACUAGGAAAAUAUUUUAAACAUUCCACAAGAAUACCAAAACCAGCCCUGCCUUUUCACUGACAGAAUGAAAACUCCCAUUUGUGGAUAUUACCUAGAACAUAGAAAACAAAAGUUCCUAUACUGCUUCUCACAAUUACUCUGCUGAGUACCUUUGAAGAAUGGUGCAAAAUUCUGCUGCAUUCAAGACACAAGAUGUAGAACACAUCUAGAAGGAUGUUAAAUCAGGAAAUCAAGAAGUCUGGACAGCACUCCAGGAAAAGAAACAUUGAAGAAACCGAAAAUAGGAGAUACUUAGCCCAAAAUAGAAUGUAAAAGGAAGCAUACAAAGCAAUCUAAAAAUGUUGGGAUUUUUGUGGAGAAGAGUAGCCUUCUUGUUUUGCUACAGUAGAAGGCAGAACUGGGGCAGACGGUUGUGAUAAUUAAUGGUGGAUUUGGCCUCAGUACUAGAGUGAAAGAUGGUCUAGCAGAUAUCCAGGGCCUAUUAUGUGCCAGAAACUGUGCUAAAUGCUUUACAAAUACUAUUUCAAUACAAAAAUUAUCUCAUUUGAGACAAUAUUUGAGGAGAUCAGACCAGAUGACCUCUAAAGUCUUUUCAAGCUGUUUCCAUGAUGAAUCAUAAAUUAACUGGGGGAAACGUUCAAAGCUAACCAGAAAGCAGUUACAAAAAUAAAAUUCGAUUCUUGUGGAAAAUCCAACAGUAGCAGUCUACAUUUCUACCUUAGUCAUAUGUAGUAUUCUGAACAAAACUGAAUAGUCACUGGAGGGCUGAGGAUGCUGAAUGGUCUCAUCGUCAUCACAUUGAAUAGAAUGAAUUCUUAUCUUGUAGAAUUGUAGAGGUGGAAGGACUGAAUGUAUACUGACCUCAUGGUAUCCAUACCCUCCAUUUUAACUUGGCUUUAAACAUACAUCCCUAAAAUCCACUUUUUUUUUUUAAAGAAUCCAGUUUAUCAACACUGAAGUUUACUUUUACUAUGGCUGCCAUAUCCUAUUUGUCUUUUCUUCAUUUGCAUAUCAUGCUUUGUGUUUCCUAGGUCUGCAAGGUUUUUGUGUAAUUUCUCCUCAUCUUUCAGUUAUUCUAGAUGAAUUAAGAAGCAGAAAUUUCAAAAACAAAUCAAAGAUGAAAAAGUGAUCUAACUUUUGACUCAAUUCACAGAACCUGGAUAUCAAGUAUGAAUGUGAAGGCUAUCCUGCAUCGGUUGUCAACAGUACUACUCUCAGACUAACGUGUUAAAAGACAUCAGUGGAAAAGUACUUUAUGAAUAAAAGUAAUACUUGUGAGAAUGUAAACAUAACACAACCUCCUCCUAUGACCAAACUUCUCAAAAUCACAAGUGAUGGCACAUUCCAGCUAAUCUGCAUCUUACAAUGAUGUUAGGUCAGGCUAAUAACUUGCAAUAUAUGUCACAUAUCUAGCCUGUGAAUAAAGGAAAAGCAUUAGUCAGCAAACAGAAUGGAGUAGAAGUGUCUGCAUUUGAAAUAUAAGAUUUUCAGAACUUAAUGUUUAUGUGCACACCUGAAACCCAACAAGAUCACAUCUUAAUUAAAGUCACAGUUCUGCGUAAUUUACUCAGUCUGAAUAGCCUCCAGUCCACUGUUUACAAUCAUAAGUGAUAUACAGGAAUGUUUGAAGUUAAAUAAAAGACUAUUAAGAGAAUCACCCUAUUCAUGAAACAACCAUUUUUAUCCCGUUAAAAAGCUUUUGUUAGUGUUGAACACAGUUUCUUUGGAUGGGCUGUGGCAGCUUAUGGGUGAGAUGAGUGUUCAAUGCUGUCUUCCUCCUGAUGAGAUGGAACACCAGCAGGCUUUAUAACACCUAUUACUGUGUUACUAUUCCCUAAGUUCCUGCAUCUCUUACCAUCUAUGCCCUACAGACCCUGGGAAGUAGUAUCGGACCUACAUAUGUGGUCUAAGGAACCCUAGACCUGGACAUCGCCCUCACUACUGUACCCAUAGGACGUCCUGGCUUUUUUAUCUCUCUACAAACUCACAAUCUUUUCUGUGCUAUUUUCUCCAAUUAAAGUAUAGGCUCCUAGAGAGAAGAGACUAUUUAUUUCUAUUUGCAUUCCCCAGCCAGCUAAGCACAGUUCUUGACAAAUUAGUUUAUAAAUACUUUUUCAUUCAUUCAUAAUGAAUAUGUAAAGUUGUAGGGAAGAGUUGUGAGUUAUGCUUUUUGGGGGGGGAGGGGAGAAUGGGGAGAGCAGUAUGAAUGAACAGUCUGGCCCUAUUAGGACUCUUAAUAACAAGUAAGAUCACUUCAGAAAAUAUGCAAACACAAAUCUAUACAGACCCUGCUGAAAAAGCUUUCUUUAACAUGCUUUGGAUGGUAUGAUAACCAAAUAUCAAUAUUAUGCACCAGCGUGCUGAAUGUGCUUGAGUGUGGCUUUUAAACUACAUUAGGACCUGGUUAUUUCAAAUUAAAAAUAUCCCAAAGAAUGCAUGGCAUUUUCCAACAAAAAUCUAGCUUCAAGUUCAUUGUGAUUUUUUGCAGCUCUGGCACUGGCUGUAGAAAUAAUUCAUAGAAACAUUUUUUUUCCCUUUUCAUUUGGAGUGGAAGACUAAUGGCAGGGCUAGACAAGUAGGUAGAGAUGAAGAAGAGAAGUGGGUUCGGAUUUUCAAAGGUAAAGUCAAACUGUACUGGGCCCAGGGAUCACAAUCAAUUGGUUUUUUUUUUUGUUUUGUUUUGUGCUGUUGAUGAAUAAGGCAGUUUAGCAAUUGUUACUCAGAAAACGCUCCAUUUUCUUUUAGAGCAAACAUUUAAUUCAUCCUGGUUUCUCUCUCAAAGGCUAAUUGCUAAUGUUGCUCUCUUUCAGUUUAGGGUUUCCUUCUGUCUGACUUUAAUAUUUGAAGUUGGCAUGGAUACCCAUAAAUUUUACAACACCUGGAAAAAUAGUAUGAGAUACAUUCUAUGUGACAAGAAAACUGCUUGAUUUAUACCUCAUCAUAAUCAAUAUAAUUUUCUGCAAGCUUUGAAACACUCCAUAUAUCCACAGCUAUGUCCUUAAUAAUGUCCUUAAUUCCACAAGGGAAAAUUGGCCAAAUAGAAAGUAUUCCUCUACAGAGAAGCACAUCAAAACUUCUGGUAAUAAAAGGCAUCUGGCUGGCUACAGGCAUUGCAAUGCCCUUUAAGAGCUGAGAGAAAGAUGGGAAACACAGAUCAGCAAGCCUGCCUGUUAAGUACUGGGACAACAUCUGGCAAAGCAUGAAAACACCCCUGGACUGCUUUUUUUCCAAAACAUGUUAACCAAAUAUUACAGUAUCUGAGUUAAAAAAAAUUUUUUUUGACAAGCCUAUGAGACCUUGGUAGUCUGGAAUGCCCUAAAGUAGUAUUCAAUUUAUCAUUUGGUUUUUUGCCAAAUUCUAUCUCUUGGGAAAGUAUCUGCAAAGAAUCAGCUAACAAACAGCCAAAUCUAGAUUUCAUAGCUACCGAUGAGAUUCUCUACCUAAGAAGUGCCCGUGCUACCUACAGCAAAGUGAUUAAGACUAUUUUCAGUAUUGACUGUCAGAAAGAGAAAUAGCCAAAUUUUUCUAAGAUUGAGAGAUAACAAUCAACUUGCUUCCUUCAGUAGCUUUUAAUUCAAAUACAAUACUUUGAGGAAUUCUUCUUUGUUAAUAUUGGUUCUUGAUGACAAAAAUCACUAAAUUACUCCUGGAGGAGUGAAGCCCUCUUGUAGGACGCUGUUACAAAGCUUUCUUAUGUACAUGAUACUCUUUGUACUUAAGGCUUUUCUCAAUUUUGAUACAAUCCCUUUUCAGACUUUAUAAAUUUCCCAUAAAUUUUAAAACAGCUCUUCUCAAAGAAUAAAUUGGAUUUUAUCAUCUUCUUAACACAUCAAUUUUGUUUCUUUAAUCACAGUAAUCACAGUGGUGCUCCUGUGUUUCCUUUGGUUUAUGGGAAAUAGAUUCCACAGGUGAACUAGGAAUGGGAAUUCUAGAGAGACUUGGAGACUGGAGAAUUGGAAAGUGAGGUUCAGAAACCAACAAAUGGGGAGGUGGCUCAGUAAUAUGGCAAUGAGACAGAUUUUCAUGGGCAACUUGUGAACUCCAUCUCAUUACUUUCACAAUAACCUU